RNAcentral lists this unclassified non-coding RNA (250 nucleotides) under uncultured fungus. RNAcentral's name for it is "partial contains 5.8S ribosomal RNA, internal transcribed spacer 2, and large subunit ribosomal RNA". Lineage: Eukaryota; Fungi. The record is from RNAcentral.
AACGCACAUUGCGCCCGCCAGCAUUCUGGCGGGCAUGCCUGUCCGAGCGUCAUUUCGACCCCUCAAGCCCAGCUUGGUGUUGGGGCCCCUACGCGCGCCGUAGGCCCCGAAUUCUAGUGGCGGGCUCGCCGCGAUCCCGAGCGUAGUAGUGCUACCUCGCCCAGGGCGCGCGGCGGGUGCCGGCCGUGAAAGAACCCCCCCAGCCAUCAAGGUUGACCUCGGAUCAGGUAGGAAUACCCGCUGAACUUAA